This is a long non-coding RNA of Crotalus tigris (Tiger rattlesnake), 2373 nucleotides long. RefSeq lists it as uncharacterized. The transcript has 3 exons. The record is from RefSeq and is a predicted model, not a curated record. NCBI's taxonomy places the organism in Eukaryota, Metazoa, Chordata, Lepidosauria, Squamata, Viperidae.
CCCUAAGUGGCCUCACGGCAACCUGAAGCUUCCGGCUUCCUUAGAACGCCGGUCUUUUUCUGUCCCUUUGUGACGUCACGGAGAUCGGCCCAAUGCCGGGAGGAAUAGCGAAGGUAGUCCUUGGCUUACAACCACAGCUGAGACCAGAGUUUCGGUGGCUGAGCAAAGCAAUUAUUAAAGUCUCAAUAUUUUUUUUUCUCACGGCAAUCAAAACUGGGUGAACCACUGAACCAUUUCUUUCAAAGAUCCUGGAGCACCAGGGAACUACCAGAUGCCUGGAAAAGAAUUGAAUGGUUCCUAUCUUCAAAACUGGAAAAAAAAAUGGAUCCAGGAAAACACAGACCUGCUGCCAGCUUCUUCAGAACCCUAGGAUGUAAUAUAUCUGGACAUGCUGAUUUCAACUUGUUUAGAGUGGAUAAAUAUUUUCUUACCAUUACUUGCGUAUUUUAAUUUGUAUUCCUAAUCUGUCUUUUAUGGUACUGUUUUUGAGAGGUUGGAUUGUUUUUUCCUUUUAUGUAAAGACAGAUACAAAGAAUGAGUUAAGCAGUUAAGUAGUUCUGUUUAACCAAAAACAGAUAACAAUAAACAAUGUGAUAUACUGUAAAACUAAUUACAUCGUCUAAAAUCAAACAGUAUUGCAAAAGGAAUGCCUUUGGUUGGCCUGAAAAUAUCACUUUGUUGUUCCUUAGCAAGGAUUUUUAUAAAUACAAGUUGGGCAUAAGAAGGGCAUGACAACUGAGAAGGCUCUAGUCUAUGGCCAUUCCUCUAUAUUCGGGUAACAUAUUUCAGUAACAUACUGUACUGUAGUAAGGAUAGUUGGCAAAGAUGAUUUAGGUGUCCAGGCAGAUAUAUCUGGGAAGAGAUACUCUUUUAGAAAUUCUGAUUGUAACUAUUGAAUCUUGAAAUAGGCUGAAUGUCUAUGUGACAAAACACAAAAAAAUGCCAUCAUAUGAUUAUAUGAACCUGUUUUAGUUGGUAUUAUAACAGUUUGAUUUUGGAUUGAAUUUUUCAUAUGAUUUAGAAAUGUAGUUCUGCAUAAAUACAUAAUAAUAACACAAUUAGUAUAUUAUCAGAGCUUUCAUAACUGAUGCCAGAUGGCUGUAUCUAGGCAACAUUACAGCUGGUAUAAUGAACUAAUUAUAUUAUUCUACUGACCCAUAAUAUACUCAAGGUAUUUCCAAGUUUCCCACAAAUUCUGUCUCCAUGUUUACUUACACACUCAUAAUUAAUAAAGUGUUUAUUUCAAGUAUAAAAAUAGAAUAUAAAGAGACAUUUACACUAUCAUAAUAUAUGCUCAAUUUAAUUGUCUGGUUAUACCGGAGAUAAACCAACCUUGCACAAGAGUGGGCUAUUUCCUAGAAGGGAAAGCAAGGGAUGGAUCUUUUGUCAUUGUGGCUCUGCACAAUGUCAUCAAAAGUCAUUUUUUUCAUAUUUUUUUUACAUUUUGACCUUUUAAGCAGGAAUAGGAGAUAGAUGUCAAAUAUGUGCCUCUGAAGAUAGUGACAGCAGGAAUGAUUAAGCCAUGAUUCCAAAGCAGAGGGCAGGACCAAGAUUGAAAUCUUCUAGAAAGAUGAGAGUUGGCAACUCUGCAUAGGAGCCUCAGCUAUUCACUACACCACAAAACUUCAAGUUAAGGAGACUAACACAGAAUACCUACAAAUAUUUCAAUACUCAUUUUUGUUUGCUUUGGUGCCUUCAAACCAAUUUUGUCUCAUGGCGACUGCCUAGACAAGUCUUCUGAUGUUUUCUUGGCAAGAUUUCAGGAGUGGUUUGCCAUUGCCUCUUUUCUAGGGCUGAGUGUGUGUGACUGGGCCAAGGUCAUCCAGCUGGUUUGGUGCCUCAGGUGGGACUAGAGCUCACAGUCUCUUGGUUUCUAGCCUGGUGCUUUAACCAUUACCCCAAACUGGUUUUCUGAUAACACCCUUCAUUUGGAAGCAACUGUUUGUUAUUUUAUUAAAUUAUAAUCUAAGAAAUUGUGUAGUAGUUUACCUUUAUUAAUACAUUGCCAUCCACAUUAGUACAAGUUGUACUGCGAUUAAUAAUUUUCAAAAUCCCUUGGGACUUUCCGGUUCGUCAGUUAAAACUUGUUUUACAUAUAAGAAAUAAAAAGGCACUUUUGACAAAAGACAAAUGAAAAUUAAGGCUCAUAAGCAGAAAUCUUAAAUAAGAUUACUUCCUCUUAACAGAAAGAUACAUAGCAUAAUCAAAACUACACAGUACUGUAUGUUCAUAAUUUUAUUUGCAUCACAUUUUCAAUGUUUUUAUUUUUUAUCAGAAGUACAGUGGUGGCCAAAAUUGUGGAAAUCUUUUGGGAAAAGUGUAUUUUUGAAGUUUGAUAGCUAAUAACACCACUUUUUUUUUGGAGUAGCACCA